RNAcentral lists this transfer RNA (77 nucleotides) under Polaribacter sp. IC063. RNAcentral's name for it is "tRNA-Thr". It matches the Rfam family "tRNA". Rfam says of the family: Transfer RNA (tRNA) molecules are approximately 80 nucleotides in length. Their secondary structure includes four short double-helical elements and three loops (D, anti-codon, and T loops). Further hydrogen bonds mediate the characteristic L-shaped molecular structure. tRNAs have two regions of fundamental functional importance: the anti-codon, which is responsible for specific mRNA codon recognition, and the 3' end, to which the tRNAs corresponding amino acid is attached (by aminoacyl-tRNA synthetases). tRNAs cope with the degeneracy of the genetic code in two manners: having more than one tRNA (with a specific anti-codon) for a particular amino acid; and 'wobble' base-pairing, i.e. permitting non-standard base-pairing at the 3rd anti-codon position. The record is from RNAcentral. RNAcentral also lists the same sequence under 28 other names. Lineage: Bacteria; Pseudomonadati; Bacteroidota; Flavobacteriia; Flavobacteriales; Flavobacteriaceae.
GCCGAUGUAGCUCAGCUGGCUAGAGCAGCUGAUUUGUAAUCAGCAGGUCGUGGGUUCGAGUCCCUCCAUCGGCUCCA